This 313-nucleotide ribosomal RNA is filed under the name uncultured Pleosporineae. RNAcentral's name for it is "partial large subunit ribosomal RNA". It matches the Rfam family "Eukaryotic large subunit ribosomal RNA", at positions 40 to 350 of the family's 3401-position model. Lineage: Eukaryota; Fungi; Ascomycota; Dothideomycetes; Pleosporales. The record is from RNAcentral.
GUAUCAAUAAGCGGAGGAAAAGAAACCAACAGGGAUUGCCCUAGUAACGGCGAGUGAAGCGGCAACAGCUCAAAUUUGAAAUCUGGCUCUUUUAGAGUCCGAGUUGUAAUUUGCAGAGGGCGCUUUGGCUUUGGCAGCGGUCCAAGUUCCUUGGAACAGGACGUCACAGAGGGUGAGAAUCCCGUACGUGGUCGCUGGCUAUUGCCGUGUAAAGCCCCUUCGACGAGUCGAGUUGUUUGGGAAUGCAGCUCUAAAUGGGAGGUACAUUUCUUCUAAAGCUAAAUAUUGGCCAGAGACCGAUAGCGCACAAGUA